This 67-nucleotide transfer RNA is filed under the name Ascarosepion apama (giant Australian cuttlefish). RNAcentral describes it as "tRNA-Val". The record is from RNAcentral. Lineage: Eukaryota; Metazoa; Mollusca; Cephalopoda; Sepiida; Sepiidae.
CAAGAUUUAACAUAAAUAAUGUAUCUCACUUACAUUGAGACAAUGAUUAAUUACUAAUCAGUUUUGA